UAUGUUUAUAACGUCCAUAUCCAUAGUGCAGUGUUGUCAUUUCCCUAGCACAAGAAAGAAAAGUGGUCUAUAAUCGUUUCCAUAUGGUUUAAUGCUGCCUAUUCUUUGGUGAAUUAAUGGCCAAGGUACUCAAAGAAGCCACAGCCAUCCAUAGUGCACGGUCCAACGUAGCACUUACAGAGACGAUGGUCAUGAGGCAGUAGCUUUGGUGGUUGUUGAGAAGGGACAGCGAAAUUUCGAGAACGCGUAGUGGUUAAAGACCGCGUGGCGUGUGGAAAACCCUACACAAGCAAGACGGCUAGGAACACACGUCAAGAGAGAUGUUGAAAGCAAAAGGAGUGAUUAGAAAUAGAAAUGGAAGCUUUUAUCAAUUCGGAAUCUGAAGCAUGAUUGCGGCCCUACCGCACGCAUAGUGCCGCAAUAGAUAUCAGACAAAACCCAUAAGCCCUACCUUUUUGUUUUUACCUUCUUAAUUCAAAGCCAAACCUUCAAUAGUACAACUUCGACAUGUGAUGAUUGUAGGCAUAAGAAUUUUUUUGUUCUCUAUUUUUCAAGAACACUUUUUUUU
This is a long non-coding RNA of Cucurbita maxima (winter squash), 568 nucleotides long. RefSeq lists it as uncharacterized. The record is from RefSeq and is a predicted model, not a curated record. NCBI's taxonomy places the organism in Eukaryota, Viridiplantae, Streptophyta, Magnoliopsida, Cucurbitales, Cucurbitaceae. The transcript has 4 exons.